RNAcentral lists this long non-coding RNA (7119 nucleotides) under Podarcis lilfordi (Lilford's wall lizard). The record is from RNAcentral. Lineage: Eukaryota; Metazoa; Chordata; Lepidosauria; Squamata; Lacertidae.
AACCCAUUGUAAAACUGUUAUACUUCAACAGAAAAGAAAAAGCACAAUUGUUUAGAAUGACAACAAGAUUACCACCCAUACAUAUUCAGGCCAAAAUGUAGAACAUAAUGCAGUGUAUGAACCACCACAGUGGUUUGCUUAAUGGUCCAUCUGGGAAAGAUCAAUGAUUCUGCACAGCGUUCUGACUCUACAAUGGCUAACUGGAUGCCUCAAUCAAGUUCAGCUGGUGGGUCGAGAUUGUAAUAGCAUCCUCUGUCAGUCCUUAGAAUCUGGAAGUUGGAGAAGUAUUGCCUAUGAAGGUGAACAUGCUGGAAACCCACUGAGUCAGCAUCCCCAAAUCUACACUAUCCAAACUCUAACAAACUCAAACAGUGAGUGCUGACUGAUUGAAGCCAGAAGAAGAAGGAAGAGGAGAAGGAAGAAGUCGUCAGUAUCCUUGGGUGAAUCCUGCAGAAGUACAAAAACUUCGCUUUAAAAGGAUGCAACUCACUGAUCUCCAAAACAGCCAAACAAGGACUAAGCAUUCUUAGUGGCCUCCAGGACACAGAAUGCUGAGUGCUGGUUGGGAAUGAAACUCAGGAGGCCUGGGUGGGUGGGUUGGCGUUAUUGAGUCUUUUACAGUUUAUAGUAUACCAGAGGAAAGCAUGGCUAGGUUUGCAUUAUGCAGACCAGGCGCAGGCUAAGGUUCACUGGCAAUAUCUUUAAAUGGAGCUUGAGCAACACUUACUGUUCCAUAGAAUGUUAACUGUUCAAUUCAUGAAGUAAUGGAAUCCCCCCUUAGUCUGGAGGCUGAAGUCAAGCAACAUUGACAGCAUACUUUUUCACAAUAUGGAAAGAAGGGUCAUGAUUUUUAUUUUUGUAUGUCAUUGGCAUAUGACAAAUGGAUUUGCCCUGCCAAAUCAAGAAUGAAAAAUAAGAGAAUCUUGUUUUAUAGAACUAGGUUGCUGGUCAGAACUGGAGAUAUUUCAAUCAACCAAAUUAUUAUGCCAGCUAUAAAUUUCCGUUUUGGGGGAAAUGAGUUGCUAAACUAAAUAUUGUGGAAUUCAAAACCAGCAGUACUUUCUGAUCCAUAAACUUUGAUUAUGGAAAUAAACUCUCUGCAUUAUGGAAGUCGAAUGGUAGUUUCUCUUGGUUUCUUUUUUUAAGGACAAAUACUAGAUUUUAACACAACACAGUUUGUUUCCCCCCAGCCAUGCCCACCCGUCACUUACCUGAUGUCACCUGUUUCCUAAAACCUAGGUAAAAGCCAUUGCUGCAAAGGAGCAAUCAGAUUCUUUAGUGUGUGCUCCUGACUGUUCCUUGGCAGUGGGCCUUGUAUUUGAGGCUGUUUAAAUUAAGCACCAAAUGCAAAGCCCACUAUAAUUAGUUCUACCUGAGCGUUCUCAGUUGGAGCAUCCAAGAGGAACGGAUCAUUGCCGUAAACAGCAGGCCUUGCACUUGGCUCUGAACUUAAACAGAGCUGAAUGCAAGUUUCAUUGCAAAGAAACAAAUGGAAGUGUGGCCACUUUUUGAUCUGGCACACCAAAGAAAAGUGGAGCCCCAUCCAUGUAGGAACAGCUGUACUGUAAAGUAAAUCCUAAUGCUUGUGAUGGAAUUUUCCAUGAUCUACCUGCUUCUACCUGCAUGUCCAGUCUCAGAGAAAAGCUUUCGGGGACUAUCUAUUUACAUCCUGGUACUUUAGGUGCAGGGUGCUGCAAGACACCACUUGAUCCCUAGUUCUGUUAACAGCUAUACUGCAGUAGUCAUCAGCAGAUUUGGGGCACAUAGUUAUCACUAUGCUGAUGGUGUGGAGCUCUUUUUCUCUGUUAAAUCUGGUUCAGAAGAUGCUGUGCCUGAAUGCAGUGAGGGUCCAUAAAUGGAAAAUGAACUUUGCUAUGAGAGAGGCACUGUGGGUGAGUGGCUCCCAAGUCCAGGUACUAGGGAUUUUGUUCUACAGUUAUUUUGGGGUUGCAUUCCUCCUGAAGGAGCAGGUCCACCAUUUAGGGGUGCUGUUGAGCCAUCUUUGUCCAUGAAGACCCAGCUGCCAAUUUUCCCCUCCCCAUCUUCAUUUGAAAGAAACGUCCAAGGAAGGCAGGGUGAGAACCUUUGCCCAGUCUGAGAAAAACAAAGAAACCAAUGCACCUCAUUUGAAUACUCCAGACCAAUUUGCAGCCCCCUGAAGCUGCAGGCAGUAAAACAAAGGAGAAAAAUCUGCCCAAAGAUUUCUCACAUAGCUCCAGAAUUUUUAGAUUGCAAAUGCCAUGGAUGUUGUAGUCUGGGCGGGGGUGUGUGUGUGUGGCGGCUCUGGGUUGCAGAAAGCUGUCAUGUGCCAUGGGCAAAAUCCAGCAGGAAUCUGAUAUUUCGUUAUCUUGUUUCAUUUCAAUAAUAAAUGUGUAGGAGAGAUAAUUUUUGUUGGAUGGAAGCUGGGAUGCAGAAACCAGGAAAAGUGAUAAAAGAUUUUCAUUUCUCUUGGUGGAAACUUACUGGUUAAGAUUCACGUCUUUUAUUUAUUUAGCUAUUCCACUUCUAAAGUGUUCCAUUGCAAAGACCAGGUAAGAAGAACAUCACAAUCAGUUCACAUUUCCCUCAGGAACAUUGCUUGGUGCUGUUGCCUUUUAGGUCUCGAGUUACAUCUGCUUUAUUCUAUCUGUAAUAGUUGUUUUAUUGCUCUUCUCUGUCUGUGUCUCCCCUAAUCUGAAUUUUAUAGGUUUAUUUGUUUGCUAACAUAUGGGAAAGAAAAACAUUUGAUUGGAUUGUUGCUGCAUUUUUCUCUUGCCCGUUCUCCAAGGAACAUGCGGUGCCACACAUAGUUUUCUGGGCUGCACACCCACAUGCCAUUUUAUUUGUCCAACAACCUUGUCAAAUAGGCUAGGCUGCAGUGUGAUUGACCCCAGGCCACCCCAUCAGCUUUGUAGCUGAAUGUGACCCAUGACCAUCCAGAGGGCAGAAUUUCUGCUUUUGAUUUCUGACAGCAGAAAACUUCCUUUUAAAAUGGAAACUGCACACACACCUUGCUGGAUGAAGCUGCUGUAAACCUUCUUCUCAUCUGCAAGGUACCUUCACAGUUCCCCCCUCUUAUUUAUUGCAAAAUGUUUUGAUCCAACUCAUUUCUUUGACAAGUAGUGAUCCAAUGCUUAUGUGAGAGAAGCAGAAAACUCGAACAAUGAUCUGUUUGGAGACUUGUUCCCAUGUACGUCUUAUCCACUCUCCUGCAGGUAGAGGAGGGAUUUUAUUUAUUUUUAAAAAAUUAUACCCUGCUUUUCACCAUCUGGAUCAAGUGGCUUACAAAAUAAAAACAUACGGUAUAUAAGAUUUAAAACAGAAAGACCGGAGGAUUGAAACACCAGAAGAUUAAAAUAUCAGAGCAGCAUUCAUGGUGCAAAGACCUCAUGGAACAAAACAGUAUUAUUAUUUCUUAGGAAGUUCAAACUGUCCUAAUUUCCAAGGUCCUGUUUUUCAAGGUCAAGCCUUGAAAAGGCUCCACGCAGGUGGAGUAUUGAGGAAUCAAGCUAAGUAGUGGUCCAGAGACCAGUUGCAAGACGAAGGUGCCGAAAGGCAGAGACUGUGCGACCAAUAAGCUGGCCGAAAACCAGAGUCUGGGAACAAGGGUUCUCAAAGACAGGGCCUUCAGUACCCUGGACAGAUCCUAAGGAAGAGACAACUUGUUCCAAAAGUGUUGGUUGCAGAAUGAGUUCUUAGAUGGCCCCUCAGUCACACUGCCUCUCCCAGGCUCUGCUUCAUUGCUGGUAAAUAAAGAACCCUCUGACCUGAAGGUUGGCACUGUGUUGCCUCUCUGCUAACUCUAAUAAGACAUGCUGCCUGUAGUCAAGCACAGUGGCAUGUGAGGCUCAUAGGGGAAUGUAUGCUGGCUUCUUGGUGGGGUGCAGCUCAGAGACUGCAGUCACUGGGGAGUCCUGGUUCAGAAGUUCCCUGGUUGUUGGACGCAGACUCAGUGGAGUCAGGGUCCAGAUCUAGCAGUUCUUUCAUCCAGCCAUCUUUGUGGAGACCCAAGUGCCAAUUUUUCUUUACCAUAACUUUGAGAGAUAGGCCAAGAUAAUUAUCUUCAUGCUAUAGUUGGACAGCUGAGGCUAAAAGAUAGUGGCUAGUUUUAAGGUAGUUAAAUAUGUUCUUAGCAGAGGUGAUAAACCCCAAACAUUUUUGGUCAGCCUGCUAGCUGCUACCUACCAGUUAACCCCUCUCCUUGCUUUGAGCAAAUGUCAGAUUCCGAAAUUGUAGAAUUGACAGGAUAAACCACGAACUUAUCAUAACCAUAGCCCAAUAAUAUUAGAACAUUGCAAUUCUACUAGUGGCAUUAGCCAGACACAUUGUUGUAGAAUAAAUGUGUUGAGCUUUUAAUAUCUAUCACCGCAUAUUAUUACUACAUAGUACAUAUCUCAAUAUACAAAAAAAGCAUUGUGUGUUUCACUUUGCAGUUGUUCCUUAUUCUUAAACAUGCCUAAAGCUCUAUAUGACACAGUUUGACAUCCAUGAAUACAUCACCUGAACAUUUAAGAAAUAUUGGGAAAGUGCUGUGCUUUACCCUACCCCCACCCCCCAAUAUGGCAAAAUGCACACUGUUGUAAACAUAGUUAAACUUACAUUUAUUUAAUGGUAUCACUUUUCACAUUUAGAUUGUAUACAACAUACGGCUUAUUUCAGAAGGGGGCCACACAACCCCGGUAAACACAACUCUCCUCACAUUUUUUUCACAACAUGAAUUAAUACUGUACUGAAAAUACUUAGAGAUUCUUGACCAUUCUAAUCAAGGCCUGCCUUCACCACCACCCCUCUGCUGCUGUUGUUGAAAAUAUAAAAAUCCUUCGCUUUGCUCAUUUAAUAGAUGUGCAGCAUAAUCCAAGCAUGUCUUAUAUAAAAUGGAGGGGAUUCCUCUCCCAGCCUUCAUGAAUCCCCCUGCAAUGAAGAGCCCUCUUAAUUCUCCUUGAGUUUACAUUUACUUUUACAUAUUGGUUUACAUUGUGGGGGGGGGGGGACGACAACAUUUAGAUGCUGUUUGUGUUUUCAUCUGGACUCUGAGAUUUAGGGUUUGCCAUCCUUUUUUAUGCAAAACAUAACCCAUAUGGCUUAAUUAGGCCUAUUAAGGAGAUUCAAGGCUUUCUGGCUCUUGUGUGUAAACUAGGGUGGGAAGAAGGAGAGGCACACAUGGGGGGAGAAAAAGGUAGUUUCCAGGGCUUUGGGAGUCAUUUUGACUAAGAGCAGCAGGAGUGGAAUUCAGGGCAGGGCAGGGAGGCCCAGACUAUUUAGUUAUUUUAAAGGAUGAGAGCUAUUAUUAUAUUGGAGUCUCAAAUCCAUAUGGAGGGAGGAUAAUACUUAAAAUAAAUUUGUGAAUGUUUAAAAUGGUAACUGUUGUUGCUAGACUAUAGUAGAACAGUGAGUCAGGAACUCCAUUUCCCAUCAGGCUGUCCUGCUUGGAUGGAAGAAGGCUAUGUCUCUCUCGGGGAAGUCUGUUGCUCUCUUCUUGGUCUCUCCAGUUAAAUCUUUAAAAGUCUGAACUGUGGGAAGUUUGAAGGUAGACUUGCUACUUUUUGUAAAGGCUAAAUUGUGGUUGAAUGGAAGCCCAAUCAGCCCGUUGGGGGUAGCUACUCUACUUAACUGGCAAUAUAGGCACUGCUUAAUGAUCACAUCAGACAUAGGACAGGACUUGCCCAUAGGGAUUCUGGGUUUUUCUAUAGGCAGACAGUAUCCCAUGUUUUACCAAAAAGUUUGUGUCUUAUCAGGAUGUUCUCCUGCAGAAGGAUCCAAGAGAAGCUUUGUUUGUUUGUUUUUAAAAAAGUAAAAGUAAAUAAUCUUCCCAGUUCCCAGUUCACUAGCUGCCACUGGUUGGCAGGGGAUAUUCAGGCCAAUUCUCCAGUGAAACAUAGUUCAGGACAAAGUGGGUGCCAGGAAUUCAGUGCAAGCUGCUAUUAUUGAUAUUAUUCUGACCUGGGCAUUGAGAUGUGGUGCACAAUGCCAAAUGCUGAAAGACCUGCAAAAUGGAAACAUAAAGAAUGUCAACGAGCUGUUGCAAAAUACUAAGCUGACAAGUGAGUUUGCCAAGCAGCCUUCACUGCCUGCUGUUGUGACCACUAUUGUCUCGAUUGUCAAUCCCAUACAGGAAUUGGAGUUACACUGCCAGGAAAAGGAUAUGACAAAACCUGAAAGCAGAAUGGGGGGAAACCAACAACCAUCGAAAAGGGAGUGAGUUAGCUUGUAAAAAAAAGCUUUCCAGAAUUAGAAUCUCCUGCACAGCUAAGAAUAGGAAGACGUGUCAGCGUGUCGCCUGUAAAAUGUGUUGAGAAUGUAUAGAGGAAGCAAAGAAGUACUUUAAGAAUCAGUACUGUGUUGACUUCACUGGGAUCUGACAGAAAUGGUCAUUUUAAAAGAAUUGUGAAUCACCUCAAUUUGGAAGUGCAUCAGCGGGCAAUAGAGCUGCACUGGGAGAAAAGCAGUGAUAAAUAUCCAUGGCUGAAAAUACGGAAGACGCAAAAUGCAGAAAAUAUCAAAUUCACAGUCACUUUGGCAUGUGGGGAGACUAUUUCUGCAUAUCUGUGGCCAUCCUGGUCCUUGAUCACUCUUGCUACCAACCGCUUAGAGUGCCUUAUGAAUGAUGAAAGACCUGAUCAUGAAACUACCAGCAUUUAAUCACUGUAGAGAUCUUGUUUAUUACAGAGAAGUGUUGGCAAGUAUCAGUGCCACAGAACUAAAUUGAAAAUUUGAUGAAUGUUUGGCAUUCAGUAUUCCCAUUGAUGGCAGUGUCAGCAAACAGAAGAUAACAAAUGUAUUAGUUGUAGAACUGCAAUGACAAAUAGAAAUUGGAGAAAUCUUUUCCUACUGAUGCAUCUGCCAGAGCAGAAUAGGGCUAAAGGUUUGCUUGAAGCCCUGAAAUAAUGUAGUUUCUGAUGAACUACAUGAAAGAAGUCCGGAAAUAAUGUAGUUCUGAUGUCAAGAAACGGAUGGAAAUGACUGGAGAAUCAGCGAAGAACUCUGGUCUUGGGAAACAUUUAAGAGAUCAGCACAUUAGAGAAAGUUUGACUUUUUGGUGCUGUGCUCACUGAUCAGACCUUGCUGCAUCAUCACCACUGUUCCAGAGCUGAAGAUCUGGAAGGCUAGCCUAUUAGCUUGGAACACCUACUUCCACACAUC